RNAcentral lists this ribosomal RNA (254 nucleotides) under uncultured bacterium. Its description in RNAcentral is "partial 16S ribosomal RNA". It matches the Rfam family "Bacterial small subunit ribosomal RNA", at positions 524 to 776 of the family's 1533-position model. The record is from RNAcentral.
UACGGGGGGAGCAAGCGUUGUUCGGAUUUACUGGGCGUAAAGGGCGCGUAGGCGGCCUCUGCAAGUCGACUGUGAAAUCUCCGGGCUUAACCCGGAACGGUCAGCCGAUACUGCAGGGCUAGAGUGCAGAAGGGGCAACUGGAAUUCUCGGUGUAGCGGUGAAAUGCGUAGAUAUCGAGAGGAACACCGAUGGCGAAGGCAGGUCUCUGGGCUGACGCUGACGCUCAUGCACGAAAGCGUGGGGAGCAAACAGG